Molecule: long non-coding RNA, 428 nt
Organism: Cyprinus carpio carpio
Lineage: Eukaryota; Metazoa; Chordata; Actinopteri; Cypriniformes; Cyprinidae
Source: Ensembl
AUUUGGAUCUGGAGAUUGCAGAAGCCACAAAAGUUCUCUCUCGGAAAGAGAGGCUGGUGUGGAUUAUGCCAUCGCACAAAGGUAAAAGAAAAGCACUUGGGACUCCAGACGACUGACAUUCAACUGUCAUUCAGUUCGUACCCAAUUGGACAUUCAAUUGUGAAUGAAGGGCCUUCAAACUUUUUCAGUCCACUUUGGAGGAAAGAGAGAUGGAGCAAUGAACGUUGCAUUUUUAAGAUCAGUUAAGUACCAUAUUCAUUUAUUCAUGUACUUGGUUAUAAUUGCAAAGUAUAUAAUCAUUAUGGUGUAUAGUAUGGAGUUAUACAUUUUAAUUUUACUUAAUGCAUUUUAAUGUAGUAAGGACAAUGCAACAUUUAGAACUUUAGCUACGGUACUUUUAGCAUUGGUUAAAAAGGACACCAGUCUGC